AUGAAUUAUCGAUUGGGGCCGGGGAGGAGGAAGGAAUGGGGUCGGUCGGGAGAGAGGACGUGGUGCGGGCCGGGCUGGAGGGAGCUCGUUAGGGGCAGGGGACGGGCCUGCUCAUUCUUUUGUAUUGCACUCUUCUCCCAUGCGCUUAGCACAGUGCUGUGCACCUCGAAAGAGUGCAGUAAAUGGGAAUUAUCGAUCGGGGAGGCGGGCGGGAUGGGGUGGGGAGGAGGGUGGGGAGGAGGCUCAUUAAGGGCAGGGGACGGGCCUGCUCGUUCUGUUGUACUGCACUCUCCCAUGCGUUUAGCACAGUGCUGUGCACAUCGAAAGGGCGCAGUAAAUAGGAAUUAUCGAUCGGGGCCGGGGAGGAGGGCGGGCUGGGGCUGGGGCCGGCGUGGAGGAGGCUCGUUAAGGGCAGGGGACGGGCCUGCUCGUUCUGUUGUAGUGGCCUCGCCCGGGCGCUCGGCCCAGCGCUGUGCACAUGGAGAGCGCUUAGUAAAUACGCAUGACGGAUGGGGGGUCGGGCGUGCAGCAAGCCGGUUAAGGGCCGAGGCCGGGCCCGCUCAUUCGGUUGGAAGGGGCUGCCCCGCGCGCUCGGCGCAUGGGAAGGGCGCGGUAAAAAGGACCGUACGUCCGGAGCGGGCCGGGCCUCCUGCCUUCUCACACAAUGGCCGAGGCGUGCGGGCCGCCCGGGCCCUACCUGCUCCAGGAGGCUGCUGGCCGACAUGGCGGCGGCGGCGGCGGCGGCAGGGCGGGGAGAGCGGGGGCGGCGACCGGUCCGUCCGGGCGGGGGCGGCGGCGGCGGGGGCGGGGGCGGCGGCGGCGGCUCGGGCUUUGUCCCCGACGCUGGCAGGGCCUCGGCGGACGCGGCGGAGACUGGGCGCGCGGCUCCGGCUCCCCCUCGGCGACGCUCUAGGCCCCCGCUCUCAACGUUCGUCUCUAUGCUCCGCUGGCGCGCGCCGCCGGGCCGAGGGUUGGCGCGCGCCCCGCCCGCGCGCUCUCACCCCCCCACGCGGAAGGGCCCGUGCGGGGCACGCCGGGAAGGAGGGCUCGGCGCCGCAGCGCCCUCGGGCGGCCAGGAGGGGCCCCCGCCUCGCCCGCAGCUUCCCACCCCCCUGA
This 1116-nucleotide long non-coding RNA is filed under the name Ornithorhynchus anatinus (platypus). Its description in RNAcentral is "lncRNA (ENSOANG00000051224.1)". The record is from RNAcentral. Lineage: Eukaryota; Metazoa; Chordata; Mammalia; Monotremata; Ornithorhynchidae.